This 253-nucleotide ribosomal RNA is filed under the name uncultured bacterium. RNAcentral describes it as "partial 16S ribosomal RNA". It matches the Rfam family "Bacterial small subunit ribosomal RNA", at positions 524 to 776 of the family's 1533-position model. The record is from RNAcentral.
UACGUAGGGGGCAAGCGUUGUCCGGAAUCACUGGGCGUAAAGAGCGUGUAGGCGGCCCGAUAAGUCCGCUGUGAAAGUCCAGGGCUCAACCCUGGGGUGCCGGUGGAUACUGUCGGGCUCGAGUCCGGAAGAGGAGUGUGGAAUUCCUGGUGUAGCGGUGAAAUGCGCAGAUAUCAGGAGGAACACCAAUGGCGAAGGCAGCACUCUGGGACGUGACUGACGCUGAGACGCGAAAGCGUGGGGAGCAAACAGG